RNAcentral lists this small nuclear RNA (108 nucleotides) under Dasypus novemcinctus (nine-banded armadillo). The record is from RNAcentral. Lineage: Eukaryota; Metazoa; Chordata; Mammalia; Cingulata; Dasypodidae.
GUGCUCUCUUCUGCAGCACAUGUACUAAAAUUAGAAUCAUACAGAGAAGAUUAGCAUGGCCCCUGAGUAAGUAUGACACACAAAUUCGUGAAAGCAUUCCAUAUUUUU